Molecule: ribosomal RNA, 429 nt
Filed under: Pseudomonadota bacterium
Lineage: Bacteria; Pseudomonadati; Pseudomonadota
Description: Proteobacteria bacterium partial 16S ribosomal RNA
Rfam family: Bacterial small subunit ribosomal RNA
Source: RNAcentral
UGGGGAAUAUUGGACAAUGGGCGAAAGCCUGAUCCAGCCAUGCCGCGUGUGUGAAGAAGGUCUUCGGAUUGUAAAGCACUUUAAGUUGGGAGGAAGGGCAGUAAGCGAAUACCUUGCUGUUUUGACGUUACCGACAGAAUAAGCACCGGCUAACUCUGUGCCAGCAGCCGCGGUAAUACAGAGGGUGCAAGCGUUAAUCGGAAUUACUGGGCGUAAAGCGCGCGUAGGUGGUUCGUUAAGUUGAAUGUGAAAGCCCCGGGCUCAACCUGGGAACUGCAUCCAAAACUGGCGAGCUAGAGUAGGGCAGAGGGUGGUGGAAUUUCCUGUGUAGCGGUGAAAUGCGUAGGUAUAGGAAGGAACACCAGUGGCGAAGGCGACCACCUGGGCUCAUACUGACACUGAGGUGCGAAAGCGUGGGGAGCAAACAGG